RNAcentral lists this long non-coding RNA (468 nucleotides) under Amborella trichopoda. RNAcentral describes it as "long non-coding RNA (ATRI_LNC004037)". Lineage: Eukaryota; Viridiplantae; Streptophyta; Magnoliopsida; Amborellales; Amborellaceae. The record is from RNAcentral.
GAAAGGAUUACGUGAUGAUGUUGGCGAAAUCCAUAAAAUAUUUGAAGGGGUUUGCAUUGUGAUCAACGACAAAAUGGAGCUGUUAAAGGCUUCACUAACACACAUCUCUCUCUCUCUCUAGAAACACGCUUCACCACGACACAAGGUCUCUCUCCCUCUCUCUCUCUCUCUCUCUCUCUCUCUCUCUCUACUCUCUCUCUCUCUACUCUACUACUACUACUACUCUACUACUACUACUACUACUACUACUACUACNNNNNNNNNNNNNNNNNNNNGGUUACGUAUUGUAGUAUACGACGAAACAAGAGAGCGUAGUAAGUACGUCUACUACACACACUCUCUCUCUCUCUCUAACAACGACUCUACCACCGACACACGACGUCUCUCCUCCUCUCUCUCUCUCUCUCUCUCUCUCUCUCUCCAACUAACAUUGUCAUCUCUCCACAAACAGACUGCAUCACUCUUCAC